Molecule: long non-coding RNA, 1537 nt
Organism: Nelumbo nucifera (sacred lotus)
Lineage: Eukaryota; Viridiplantae; Streptophyta; Magnoliopsida; Proteales; Nelumbonaceae
Source: RefSeq, a predicted model, not a curated record
UUUUGAAUUUUUGAUCCGCGUGUAGUUGGCCAUCAGUACGUCUCCUACCGUCCCACCAAGUCCUGAGGGAAAAAACCCCUAACGAGAGAUAUCUCUCUCCCCUCGCCCUCCCCCUCCCCCUCCCCCAUCUCUCACUCUCUUGAGUUCUAUCUCUGUAUUGAGUGAAAACCCAAUGUCCCUCUUUCUUUGUUUCGGGGAAAACCCCAGAAUCCUCUAUGUCUUUGUACGCUAACAUCCAGUUGCAAUUUCUAAGGCUAUGGGAUAGGUAUCAAGGUCAGUGGAUCAGUGGUCUCUGCGUAGAAGUUGUGAAAGAUGAGAUUGUCAAAUUAGAGAGGCUGAUUAGUACUGAAAGAACCUUCUAUUGACUCCACCUCCGAACCCUACAAAGCAUCCAAUUUCCACCACAAGGUAGCUUCUUCACAGAAUCUUGGAAUCUCCGAGAGUCCUAAGGUUGAUGCCAAGCAGUCCUCAGGAAGACGAGGUGCUGGUUGAAUCAAAACACAGUACAUAGAUAUUGGAGUGCAUUUUAUGAUUGGAAGGACUACUGCCCAAUGGUAUUCAGGUAUUGGCUCCCUGGAAACGAAAACCCAGCCUAUGUUUUGCUUUCUGUUUGCAUAUUAAAUGGUCUAUUUGGAUGUAAAUUUGGUGCUCAAGCAUCAGGCCUUUCCUUUGUGUUGAAUUUCUAUUUCUUAUAUUUUGGUUGGUGUUAAUAAACUUGAGGGAGUUGCUCUAAAUAGAUCUUGCAGAUUGCAUAUGCUAGCAUUUCCGGAAUUGAUGUACGAAGAGGGCUGGUCAUUUCUGGAAUUGUGGGGAAGACAUUGGAUGUAAAUCUGCAUUAAGUUGUUUUCAUGUGUAUUUAUAUUUAAACACAUUGUCCUAUACACUCCCUGUGUACAAAUCAACUACUAGAGAAACCUCAGCUGGACACUUCAACCGCUGCUCGGCAUCUCGGCUGCUAGGGGACCUGCAAUCAAAGGUAGUAGAGUUUGAGUCGAGCCAAACUCGAACUUCUGAGCUCGAGCUCAAGUUUCUAAUUUGAAUCGAGCUCGAGCUAGACAACACCUCAACCAUUGAGGGAAAUCUUGGCUCAGCACCUCGACAACUGAAGAAGACCUUAGCACGGCACCUUGUCAACUAAGGGAGACCUUAGCUUGACACCUUGCCUGCUAGGUAAACCUUAGCUCGACACUUCAGCAGCUGAGGGAGAUCUCGGUUUGGCACCUCGACAAUUGAGAAAGACCUCGGCUGCUUAAGAGACCUGCAAUCAAAGGUAACUGAGCUCGGCUGAUGGUAGUAUAUUGAUAUUAUACUACCACCAGAAUUGAAGAUGGGAGUUUCGGAACUUUGAGCUUCAACAUAUAUUUAUAAUAUAUCUUGAGAAUUCUGAUGAUGACCACAUCGUUUUGCAAAUUUGCACGUUAAAUUAGAAGGAAUGGUUUUCAACUCACACACCAAAUUGAAGUAACCAGUUUUACCUUUCGAUUUCUUUUGCAAGUGUAUUUGAUGGAUCAAUGAGAACCUUUUGCUUAUUUAUGCA